CGAAACGCGAGGAACGGGAAAAUAGCGGUCAAAUGUUCCGUCAGAGAGUGUCUGUCACCGGCUGAGAGCAGACGCGGGAGCACAUCGCUUAGUUCGCCCGGGAGCGGCCAUGAGGAAAUACAUGGACGGCGUGGCUGCCGUUAAAGAGGCUUUAAGCGCGCGUAGAAAUACGCGAAUCGUGGGUGGUACCGCGGAGGGUUUGCCUUUCGUCCCCGUU
This 217-nucleotide non-coding RNA is filed under the name uncultured Eubacteriales bacterium. Lineage: Bacteria; Bacillati; Bacillota; Clostridia; Eubacteriales. The record is from RNAcentral.